This is a small nuclear RNA of Rattus norvegicus (Norway rat), 82 nucleotides long. NCBI's taxonomy places the organism in Eukaryota, Metazoa, Chordata, Mammalia, Rodentia, Muridae. The record is from Ensembl.
AUGCUUGCUUCGGCAGCACGUAGACUAAAAGUGGGAUGAUACAGAGAGGAUUAGCAUGGCCCUGAGCAAGGAGGACACACAA